UACGGGGGGGGCAAGCGUUGUUCGGAAUUACUGGGCGUAAAGGGCGCGUAGGCGGCCUACUAAGUCGGACGUGAAAUCCCUCGGCUCAACCGAGGAACUGCGUCCGAUACUGGCAGGCUGGAAUCCGGGAGAGGGAUGUGGAAUUCCAGGUGUAGCGGUGAAAUGCGUAGAUAUCUGGAGGAACACCGGUGGCGAAGGCGGCAUCCUGGACCGGUAUUGACGCUGAGGAGCGAAAGCCAGGGGAGCAAACGGG
RNAcentral lists this ribosomal RNA (253 nucleotides) under uncultured bacterium. RNAcentral's name for it is "partial 16S ribosomal RNA". It matches the Rfam family "Bacterial small subunit ribosomal RNA", at positions 524 to 776 of the family's 1533-position model. The record is from RNAcentral.